RNAcentral lists this ribosomal RNA (490 nucleotides) under uncultured bacterium. RNAcentral's name for it is "partial 16S ribosomal RNA". It matches the Rfam family "Bacterial small subunit ribosomal RNA", at positions 28 to 507 of the family's 1533-position model. The record is from RNAcentral.
GAUGAACGCUAGCUACAGGCUUAACACAUGCAAGUCGCGGGGCAGCAUGGGGGUUGCUUGCAAUCCCCGAUGGCGACCGGCGCACGGGUGAGUAACGCGUAUCCAACCUGCCCUUCACCACGGGAUAACCCGGCGAAAGUCGGACUAAUACCGUAUGUUGUCCAUUGACGGCAUCCGAUUUGGACGAAAGGUUUGGCGGGGAAGGAUGGGGAGGCGUCCGAUUAGCUGGACGGCGGGGGGACGGCCCACCGUGGCGGCGGUCGGUAGGGGUUCUGAGAGGAAGGUCCCCCACACUGGAACUGAGACACGGACCAGACUCCUACGGGAGGCAGCAGUAAGGAAUAUUGGUCAAUGGGCGUAAGCCUGAACCAGCCAAGUAGCGUGCAGGAUGACGGCCCUAUGGGUUGUAAACUGCUUUUAUGCGGGGAUAAAGUGGCCCACGUGUGGGUUUUUGCAGGUACCGCAUGAAUAAGGACCGGCUAAUUCCGUG